Molecule: long non-coding RNA, 1555 nt
Organism: Hemicordylus capensis (graceful crag lizard)
Lineage: Eukaryota; Metazoa; Chordata; Lepidosauria; Squamata; Cordylidae
Exons: 5
Source: RefSeq, a predicted model, not a curated record
GUCAGCAAAGCCGCAGGACGUCACUGUGGUUGCUGCAGUUAUGGAACCUUCUGAGGGGCACACUCAUCUUUAAAGAGAAUUCUCAGCACCUCCAUCUACAAUUACACCUUCAAGUAGAACCCCCAGGAUUCUUUGCACAAUGCACUGACAGUGAUAUAAAAUACUGAAGUAUGUUUGCAGUGUAGAUAUACCUUAACAUUCAACAACCAAUUUGUCUCUUAGAGCUGCUGCUGCCAUUAUACUGCUUUUCAACAAAAGUUCUCAAAGCAGAUUAUAUAGAAAAAUAAAUAAAUAAGGUGGUUCCCUGUCCCCAGAGGGCUAACAGUCUAAAAAGAAACAUAACGUAGAUACCAGCAACAACCACUGGAAGGAUUUAUUUAUUUUUAUUGUUAAAUUUAUAUACCGCCUUUCAUUAAAAACAAUCUCAAGGUGGUUGGCUAGGAUGUUGUGCUGGGGUUGGCUAGGGACAGUUGCCCUCUCCCCCUGCUAAAUAUAAGAGAACCAGCACUUGAAAAGGUGCCUCUUUGCUCAGUUAGCAGGGUAAAAGAGCUGGCAAAAACACCUUCCUUCUCAGCACUCUCUGGGGCACCAGACAGGACUGUCACUGUCCAAAACUUCUGGCCCAUUCAAUUGUGCAGGAAGAAAGGAUGAUUUCCCCCUGAUUAUAUACCGGAUGCUUUUCUUCAUCAAGGAAAUGCUCCUUUUUCUGUCCAGAGCAUACCCUAGAAUCAGAUAUUCUGUACUUCAUCUGGUUAUUCAUCCUGCAGUUCAGGACGUUUUAUAACUCAGGAUAUGACAUUCUUUAUAAAGGUUUGUUUGUGAACUAACACCCCUUUGAAUUAAGAUUUCAAAGUAAAAGUGGGUCAGCUGGCCUAUAGAGCUGAAACUGGAGCCAGAGAUGGGACUGGAAUUUUUGAAUUAUUUGGCCGGAUCAAUCACCUGAAUCCUUUAUGACUGACAGAUACUUCAAAAGAAUAUUCACAUGGACAAAUAACUUGCAAUCCCAUAAUAUAGUUACUACAAAAUAGUCUACCACAUGUAUUAUUCUUUCCCCAAUACCUUCAUAAUGUGAACAAUAUUGAUCUGUUGAAUGGCAGAGUUGGAGAAAUUGAAUGCCAUGUUUUUUAACCUGCAGACACACGUCCCAUCAGGAAAGGAGUCUAAAGAGAAGUCUCCCAAGAGGCCUGUGUUUUCACACAGACCUCCAGGGCAACCUCUUCUUCUACCAUAAUAUAAUUUUACACAAGAGAGAUGAGAGACUUACCUGAGCACUCCAACCAGCAAGUGCACCCGGCGCACCUACGGAUCUGGACCGGCCUUGGCUUGGACUGGAAGAGACACACUAUACUUGUCCAGAUGACGCUGAAAACAGCACCCUCGUUGAAAGAUCUCCAUUGCCUGCUGGCAAAAAGAUUAGAAGUAUUUCUAAUGCUGCCAUCAUUUGGUGUGCCUUGGAAUGUGCAUCCCAGAGCCCAGCUGAUUGGCUGGGUGGCAGACACGCCUGAUUGGCUGAGGCGCACCCAGGAGGAUUGGUUGCCGCAGCAGUGGCCCGGCC